AGGAGGUUGAAAACGAAACCCCCGCGGCCUGCGACGGGGUCGAGGAAGGGGCAAAUGCAACGCUCACUAUGGAACUGCUUGUAGGCAGCGGGGGAAAGAGCGGAAGAAACCGCGAGGAGGAGGAGGUUUCGCGCGCGAGCUUGUGGGACGCUGCUGCGGAGGGGGAAGGGCGGAAUGGGAAGAGAAGAAGGGCGAACGAAAACGAACGCGAGCUUGUGGGUUUUGAUUACGAGGGGUGGGAAGGGCGCAAGAGUCGAAGGGCGAUUCGAACGGCAGCGCGCAAGAGAAGGGAGCAGAAAAACGAGACGGAGCAACCCCGAUCGAAAUUCGGCUAAGUCCCGAUCGCGGCAGUCGAAAUUUUUCUAAGUCCCGGGAAGCACGCGUUCCACAGACGGUGCAGUGCAAGUGCAGCCAAGUGUUUGUCGACAAUGUAGUGGAAAGUGAUUGUGAAGCUGUAGGUGUUGACUGCAGUCCACAUGCAAGGUAAGAUAAAACAACAUUACAUUACCCCGGAAGUAAUCUAAUAUUUUGAUAUGUUUUUUUCCUCUCCGACAUGUACACGAGCAUUCUGCAUCGAACGGUCAACCCAAAGGUCACAGAACACGCCAACGAUCGAAGUACGCGUAUGGAACACGCGUUUGAACAGGAACGUUCAUGAUCGCAGCCCGGAUCACGCCGCCACAGCGACGCCACCAAGCCAGAUGCAGACGUAGACGACGGCACCAACACCAACAGCACGAACGGCGAACAUCGCAUCAUGAUGACGUCACACCAUGACGACGUCAUCACCAAAGUAUUAUGGCGUCACGGGGUGGGUUCGAAAUAAUUAGCGAAAAUAAACGCCACCGCCAUUGCGCGAUGGCUUACGGACCAAUCAAAGCGUACUUCAUUUUGGGUAGGGAAAGAGUAUAGGAAAGAAAGAAAGGGGGCUAUAGGAGAGAGCG
Molecule: long non-coding RNA, 944 nt
Organism: Anopheles darlingi
Lineage: Eukaryota; Metazoa; Arthropoda; Insecta; Diptera; Culicidae
Exons: 3
Source: RefSeq, a predicted model, not a curated record